CUCACGUCAGAACCAUCACGUACUGAAGAGGCAGGGAGACAGCGGCGUUUCUGGAGAUGUGCUGAAUGAUUUUCAGAGCGCUGUCCUAUGUGGCUGAUAGGAUAGUAGCCUGCUGCAGUCCUGGGAGGAGGUCCAGAGGAUGAGGCCGGCCGCACUCUAGGUGGGAGGUGGAGACAGUUGCUCGCAGGAUUCCAGCCAUUAAGCCUGCUCCAGCUCGUGCCACGGGAUGUGGCGUCUAAGGGGAAGAGUGCGGCAG
Megalops cyprinoides (Indo-Pacific tarpon) is the source of this 256-nucleotide long non-coding RNA. RefSeq lists it as uncharacterized. The record is from RefSeq and is a predicted model, not a curated record. Lineage: Eukaryota; Metazoa; Chordata; Actinopteri; Elopiformes; Megalopidae. The transcript is spliced from 3 exons.